GACGAACGCUGGCGGCGUGCUUAACACAUGCAAGUCGAGCGGUAAGGCCCUUUCGGGGGUACACGAGCGGCGAACGGGUGAGUAACACGUGGGUGACCUGCCCUCAGCUCUGGGAUAAGCCUGGGAAACCGGGUCUAAUACCGGAUAUGACUCCAUGACGCAUGUUGUGGGGUGGAAAGCCUUGUGCGGCUGAGGAUGGGCCCGCGGCCUAUCAGCUUGUUGGUGGGGGAUGGCCUACCAAGGCGACGACGGGUAGCCGGCCUGAGAGGGCGACCGGCCACACUGGGACUGAGACAUGGCCCAGACUCCUACGGGAGGCAGCAGUGGGGAAUCUUGCGCAAUGGGCGAAAGCCUGACGCAGCGACGCCGCGUGA
This 374-nucleotide ribosomal RNA is filed under the name uncultured bacterium. RNAcentral's name for it is "bacterial SSU rRNA". It matches the Rfam family "Bacterial small subunit ribosomal RNA", at positions 28 to 404 of the family's 1533-position model. The record is from RNAcentral.